This 253-nucleotide ribosomal RNA is filed under the name uncultured bacterium. RNAcentral describes it as "partial 16S ribosomal RNA". It matches the Rfam family "Bacterial small subunit ribosomal RNA", at positions 524 to 776 of the family's 1533-position model. The record is from RNAcentral.
UACGAAGGGGGCUAGCGUUGCUCGGAAUUGCUGGGCGUAAAGCGCACGUAGGCGGCUCUUUAAGUCGGGGGUGAAAUCCUGGAGCUCAACUCCAGAACUGCCUUCGAUACUGAAGAGCUCGAGUCCGGGAGAGGUGAGUGGAACUGCGAGUGUAGAGGUGAAAUUCGUAGAUAUUCGCAAGAACACCAGUGGCGAAGGCGGCUCACUGGCCCGGUACUGACGCUGAGGUGCGAAAGCGUGGGGAGCAAACAGG